CACAGAGAGCACUGAGAUUAGGCUCAAACACCUGCAUUUUUGAGCUGCCUUACUCAAUAAAGCAACAAAGAGACUAAGUUUGUAUGCAGCUUUAUUAGCUUAAUGACAUAUUUUUAUUUUUUAAUAUUGUGUGCAAACUGAUAUGUGACAUGUAUUCAUGUCAAAAUAACAUGCAAAACAGGCAACCCGCCCACAUUUGAGUUUAGGUUCCUACAAAUCAAUGUUUAGGAAUGCUUGACUUUAUGAGGAAACUAUGCAGGGUUACAAUUAUAGCUUGGCUCGGAUAACCAAAUACCCAUAAACAAAUCAGAAUUCCCCAGGCCCACAAUAAUUGACAUAUCAAAAAUGUAUACUGUGGGUUGUAGUUAUGAUGUACACAGUAAUUGGACAUUUUUUAUUUUAUUUUUUUAAAUCAUUUUGGCAUACAACAAGAAAAAAUACGUUUCCCUCUGUGUCCUUUAAUUAUUUUACAUAAAAGAAACCAUCAUGCUUUUAAAAAAAUCAGACAUAUGAGCGGGAGAGAUGUGGGUUUGUAACAUCCAUAUGUUAGGUAUGGGGAUUAGGGAUUGGUUCUGGGGCUAUAGUAAAGCACUGGGGAGAGAGAUCCAGGUCUCUUACGGCUGAUAAGAGGAUAAGUCAUGUCCCUCUGACUGCAGGCUCUAGUCGGAGUCACUGCUGCAGGAGCUGCUUGAACUCUGGAUGGAGGAGAAACAGAAAAGGAACACCUUUAAUUCAACAUAAAUUAUUUCAAUUGAACAGAGAUUUUUUUUACUAUGGAGCACUUUCAAUUAGUUUUAGACUAAAAAGAUCUCUUACCCCAUGACUCUGCUUCCCUUUCUUGUGACAACCCCCAUGCCAAUGCCCAUGCUUGUGCCUGUGCCUGCAUCCAUGACCGUGCCCAUGACCAUGACCAUGACCGUGCCCAUGACCAUGACCAUGCCCAUGACCAUGCCCUCCGCGACCAUGCCCUCCGUGACCGUGCCCUCCGUGUCCUCCAUGACCGUGCCCUCCAUGACCGUGACCUCCACGAUGCCCGUGACCGUGACCAUGAUCAUGACCAUGAUGUCCGUGCCCAUGAUCGUGCCCAUGCCCAUGACCUCCAUGGGGACCCUGUACUGGAUAAGAUGGUGGCACAGGGUAGCAGGUGGAGGGGGGCUGGUAGGGAGGGCAUGAUGGGGCCAUGAUGGCACCAAUGGUGCACCCGCCAGGGUGUCCCCCACCUGGCAUUGGCGGUUCGCACCCACUUGGGUUCACGUUGUAGCCAGAGGGAUGCUGGUUUCCUAUACAAGGAGAGAUUUAUAUAGAUUACGAGCCAAAUUACCUACACUAUAAAUUGAAAGAGAGGUAGAAACAAAUUAAAUGGGUCUGCAUUUACAAACAUUUACCUUGGUUGUGACCCCACAUCUCGAUGUUUCAGAUCAAAACCCUGAAAUGGAAAAAAUAUUUAUACUUGUUUUAAUGAUUUAUUUAAAAUAUUAUAUUUUGUCCCCGCUUUCACUAGUAUAGAACCUAGAGUUAGAGAUGGAGGAGGUCCUUGUCAACAUAUUGCUACAUUCAGUCACAUCUAACCAGUCUGACUGGUUGUGGAAAAUGCUAUCUGCAAACAUAUGGAACAAUAGUGUCCUAGAAAGAUGUGGCUGCUGGCUGCACACUAAGACCAAUGUUCCUUACCAGGGAAAGUAACAGUGGGGUGUUGGCCAACAUGUUUUUUUUAGCCUUUUGCAGUGCUUUUUAUUCAUGUAGUUGCCAGGUAAAUACUGUCUGCAAAGAUACCUUUAUAAACAGUUUUUCUCAGGUACUUAUAAAAGAUAAUUGCUUUGACAUUAAUGUCAAGAUACUAUAUAUAAUAUGGUAUUUCAAUGGAUUUCCACUGGCUGGAGCAUUGAAAGCACUGAGGUAAUCAGUAAGCACCUAAGUUACUGAAUUAAUUGAUAUUUUACGCAGGUACUAAGUAUUUAUCCCAGUAUUUGCUGGUAAAUUAAGCACUGACACGGGUCAAAUAAACUACUUUCUUGAUUACUUAAGAAUUAGCAUUAUAGCAGAAAUUGUACUUUUCCAAAUGGAAUACAAACAUUUUAGCUUUGUUUUGUUUUUGGUCUUUUAUUUCAUCUGGAAUAAACAUUUAGUAAACGUAUCCCUAAGUAGAUUAAAAAAAUACUUAUUAACAAUUAAAGAUAUACAUAGAACAUAUUUCCCUGCAUUGGCAAUUUUAGUCUCCAUAGUUCAAAGUACUGUAACACAGCAAUCAAAGUGCUAUCUGUUAAACUCUAUCAAUCAUGUUUUACAUGUUUCUUUAAAAAAAAACAUUGUUUAAAAAAAAUAGAUAUUGUCAAAAUAAGGCAUAUUUAGAAAUAGUGUACUUACUGAGAUGUAGUUCCUGUCAGGGUUCUGUCUGCAUGGCUUCCCAGAGAAAUAACUCGUAAUUAUACUGUAGAGAGACACACCUCGCUUCCUUUAACACUCCCC
Oncorhynchus tshawytscha (Chinook salmon) is the source of this 2466-nucleotide long non-coding RNA. NCBI's taxonomy places the organism in Eukaryota, Metazoa, Chordata, Actinopteri, Salmoniformes, Salmonidae. The record is from Ensembl.